GGGUUUGAUCCUGGCUCAGAACGAACGCUGGCGGCGUGGUUGAUACAUGCAAGUCGAACGGGAACGAGUCCUUCGGGACUUUAGUAUAGUGGUGGACGGGUGAGUAACGCGUGAUUAAUUUGCCCUUAGGAGGGGGAUAGCCAUUCGAAAGGAUGUGUAAUACCCCAUAAGACCACGGUAUCGUAUGGUACUGAGGUAAAAAGGUUGGGAUUUUUGGACCUUCCGCCUAGGGAUGAAAUCGCGUCCUAUUAGCUUGUUGGUGAGGUAAUGGCUCACCAAGGCUUUGAUGGGUAGCCGGCCUGAGAGGGUGAAUGGUUACACUGGAAUUGAGAUAUGGUCCAGACUCCUAUGGGAGGCAGUAGUGCUGAAUUAUUCGCCAAUGUGCGAAAGCGUGAUGGUGCGACGCCGCGUGCGGGAUGAAGGCCUUUGGGUUGUAAACCGCUGUCAGGGUCUCGGAAACUACAGACGUUAAUAGCGGCUGUACUGACUAGACCCAAAGGAAGCACAGGUUAAUCUCGUGCCAGUAGUUGUGGUAAUACGAGAUGUGCAAGCGUUGUUCGGAAUCACUGGGCAUAAAGGGUGCGCAGGCUGCUUUAUAAGUCAGGAGUGAAAUCCCACGGUUUAACCGUGGAACUGCUCUUGAUACUGUAAAGCUUGAGAGUGAAAGGGGCAAGUGGAAUUCCAGGUGUAGCGGUGGAAUGCGUAGAUAUCUGGGAGAACGCCAAUGGUGAAGGCAACUUGCUGGGUUACUUCUGACGCUCAUGCACGAAAGCUAGGGGAGUAAACAGGAUUAGAUACCCUGGUAGUCCUAGCCGUAAACGAUGGAUACUAGGUUUUGGAAGCUUUGAUGUUUUCAGAGCCGUAGCUAAUGCGUUAAGUAUCCCGCCUGGGGAGUAUGGUCGUAAGGCUAAAAUUUAAAGGAAUUGACGGGGGCUCACACAAGCGGUGGAGCAUGUUGUUUAAUUCGAAUUAAUGUGAAGAACUUUACCAGGACUUGACAUGUACAAAGUAGUGAACCGAAAGGGGAUCGAUUGGUAUUUAGUCCAAAAUGUACAUAGGUGCUGCAUGGCUGUCGUCAGCUCGUGUCGUGAGACGUUAGGUUAAGUUCUGUAACGAGCGAAACCCCUGUCGUCUGUUGCUACCAGGUUAUGCUGGGCACUCUGGCGAGACUGCCGGUGUUAAACCGGAGGAAGGCGGGGACGACGUCAAGUCAUCAUGGUCCUUACGUCCUGGGCUACAAACGUGCUACAAUGGCUGGUAUAGAGAGAAGCGAUACCGUGAGGUGGAGCAAAUCUUCAAAACCAGCCCCAGUUCGGAUUGGAGGCUGUAAUUCGCCUCCAUGAAGUUGGAAUCGCUAGUAAUCGCGGAUUAGUAACGCCGCGGUGAAUAUGUUCCUGAGCCUUGUAUAUAUUGCCCGUCAAGCCACCCAAGCUGGAAGCACCCGAAGUCCGGCGUUAAUAGUCCGGCCGAAGGUGAGUCUGGUGAGGGGGACUAAGUCGAAAUAAGGUA
RNAcentral lists this ribosomal RNA (1509 nucleotides) under metagenome. RNAcentral's name for it is "bacterial SSU rRNA". It matches the Rfam family "Bacterial small subunit ribosomal RNA". The record is from RNAcentral.